This 301-nucleotide ribosomal RNA is filed under the name uncultured bacterium. RNAcentral's name for it is "partial 16S ribosomal RNA". It matches the Rfam family "Bacterial small subunit ribosomal RNA", at positions 509 to 808 of the family's 1533-position model. The record is from RNAcentral.
CAGUAGCCGCGGUAAUGCGUAGGGUGCGAGCGUUAAUCGGAAUUACUGGGCGUAAAGCGAGCGCAGACGGUUUAACAAGUUAGUGGUGAAAGGCAUAGGCUCAACCAAUGUAAGCCAUUAAAACUGUUUAACUUGAGUGCAGGAGAGGAAAGUGGAAUUCCUAGUGUAGCGGUGAAAUGCGUAGAUAUUAGGAGGAAUACCAGUGGCGAAGGCGACUUUCUGGACUGCAACUGACACUGAGGCACGAAAGCGUGGGGAGCAAACAGGAUUAGAGACCCCGGUAGUCCCUGUCUCUUAUACA